RNAcentral lists this ribosomal RNA (449 nucleotides) under uncultured bacterium. RNAcentral describes it as "bacterial SSU rRNA". It matches the Rfam family "Bacterial small subunit ribosomal RNA", at positions 352 to 793 of the family's 1533-position model. The record is from RNAcentral.
CAGUGGGGAAUAUUGCACAAUGGGGGAAACCCUGAUGCAGCCAUGCCGCGUGUGUGAAGAAGGCCUUCGGGUUGUAAAGCACUUUCAGUAGGGAGGAAGGUAGUGUAGUUAACACCUGCAUUAUUUGACGUUACCUACAGAAGAAGCACCGGCUAACUCCGUGCCAGCAGCCGCGGUAAUACGGAGGGUGCGAGCGUUAAUCGGAAUUACUGGGCGUAAAGCGCAUGCAGGCGGCCUGUUAAGUCAGAUGUGAAAGCCCCGGGGCUUAACCUCGGAAUUGCAUUUGAAACUGGCAGGCUAGAGUCUUGUAGAGGGGGUAGAAUUUCAGGUGUAGCGGUGAAAUGCGUAGAGAUCUGAAGGAAUACCAGUGGCGAAGGCGGCCCCCUGGACAAAGACUGACGCUCAGAUGCGAAAGCGUGGGGAGCAAACAGGAUUAGAUACCCUGGUAG